This 603-nucleotide ribosomal RNA is filed under the name Halichoeres bivittatus (slippery dick). RNAcentral's name for it is "partial 16S ribosomal RNA". It matches the Rfam family "Bacterial large subunit ribosomal RNA", at positions 1803 to 2613 of the family's 2925-position model. The record is from RNAcentral. Lineage: Eukaryota; Metazoa; Chordata; Actinopteri; Labriformes; Labridae.
UUUAUCAAAAACAUCGCCUCUUGCAAAAACAACGAAUAAGAGGUCCCGCCUGCCCGGUGACUUAGUUUAACGGCCGCGGUAUUUUGACCGUGCGAAGGUAGCGCAAUCACUUGUCUUUUAAAUGGAGACCUGUAUGAAUGGCAUCACGAGGGCUUAACUGUCUCCUUUCUUAGGCCAAUGAAAUUGAUCUCCCCGUGCAGAAGCGGGGAUAGUUACAUAAGACGAGAAGACCCUAUGGAGCUUUAGACACUAAGACAGCUUACGUCAAGAAUACCCACAACACGGGAACGAACUAGGUUUCCCCUGUCCUAAUGUCUUCGGUUGGGGCGACCCUGGGGAGAUAAAUAACCCCCAUGAGGAAUGGAAACGUGUUUCCAAAACCAAGAGCUACCGCUCUAAGAAGCAGAACUUCUGACCAACUAGACCCGGCUAAGGCCGAUCGACGGACCGAGUUACCCUAGGGAUAACAGCGCAAUCUCCUUUUAGAGACCCUAUCGACAAGGGGGUUUACGACCUCGAUGUUGGAUCAGGACAUCCUAAUGGUGCAGCCGCUAUUAAGGGUUCGUUUGUUCAACGAUUAAAGUCCUACGUGAUCUGAGUUCA